This is a long non-coding RNA of Cygnus olor (mute swan), 8150 nucleotides long. RefSeq lists it as uncharacterized. The transcript is spliced from 4 exons. The record is from RefSeq and is a predicted model, not a curated record. Lineage: Eukaryota; Metazoa; Chordata; Aves; Anseriformes; Anatidae.
CUCAUUCUUCUUCUUUUUCUCCUUUAUAUCCCAUGCAGUUUUUCUCUAGCUUUUGAGAAGUGGCAAUGUUCACUUUUAGUGCACUCUAUUGGCCUCAGUACUUUUCAUCGUAUGGAAAAUGUAAAACAUGCAGUCUGAUCCCGUUGUUCCAGUUAUUUAUUACUGGGGUAAUAAAGCUUGUGCUUGGAGUUUCUUUUUGUUAUAUUAGAUGCAGAGUGCAUUUCACGGUCUAAAUGACUAAGCACGUAUAACCUAACACCCAGCUCCCCUCGCCUUUGACUGUUCAGAUGGAAAAAGCAGAAUUUAGGGUUAGAAUUAACUGUAUGUGAUUCUUUCUCAUCAGUGUUUGUUCAAGGUCGGAUGUCAUAUUUUAAAUAGCAUUUAUACUUUUUACAUCAAAUUAAUGUUACCACUGAAUUCCAGUUUUUGUUGUAGUUACUGUCUUACAUUGGAAUUGUUUCACUUUUGGUUAGGAAUAAUAGAAAUAUUACGAACAGCCCAAAGACUGGAUUAGCAGUGUGAGGUUUGGAAGAAAAUAUUGUUCUCAGCUUGGCUCUACAUUGGAAGUCAUGCAUUUCUCCUCUUCUUACUUUUCAGCUCAUCUGCACUGCCUCGAGUCUAAUUAAUCAGCCAUUAUGUGGGUGAAGUUAUUUCUACAAAAACUGUGCAGAAUCCACAAAGGUCUGUUCUUGCCAAGUUACAUGAAGCAUUACUCCUGCAGAAGCCUGAGUCUGGCUACCUCCCAAAUACCUGGACUAAAAAAGAAAUAGCAGUGUUAUUUAUUAUUAUUUUAAUUACAGAACUGACAGACUAAGGCCAGUGGGAGAAGAGACAGAAGCAGCAGUAGGAAAUGUGUUUUUGUUUGUUUGUUUGUUUGUUUGUUUUUAAUUCAAGCAAGAUAGAAACAGUUGCAGGAAAAAUGAACAAAACACUUUUUCCUUACCCUGCAUUUUUUAGUAUAGUGAAAAUAUGGUCUCAAGCCCUCCUCUCCACAGUCCGGUGAUUUCACAUAUACUAGUAUGCACUGAACAUGUACAGACUAACCAGUUCAGCUUUGGGACUGUAUGCACAUAUGUAUUAGACCUUUUCAUGUGUAGCAUAUGGUGUAUCACAUUAUCUUACAACUAUUAUAUAGUGGUAUAAAAGUAGUCCACAGUUUGAACUGUACAAAUGACUAGCAGUGGUGAAGCAUUAGUUCCUCUGUCUGAAAUCCCAAUGUCACAUCCAUGCUGAACAUGCAUUUGGACAUUCCCAAGGCAGGGCAGCACACCUCUUUGGCCAAGGAGCCGUGCUUGUUCUCAUAAUUACUCUUGCAUUUAACACAGCUGAUAUUUUUGACAGAGUAGUGAUAGCUAUGAAUUGGGGCUGCAACAAUGAGAUGUGAGAAAUAUGAGCUUUGGAGUCAAUAGAAAUUGACACAGUGUAGAAGGCUCGCUUAUAGUGUCAAGGGGGAAAUGCAAACAGAAACAUAAUUAAACAGUUAUAUCUACAAAAUUAAUCAUAAGUUGGUUCCUUUCACAGUAACUGUUUCCUCUCAGCUCUAGACCAGAAAUUCUGAAGCUCACUGAUAGGCACUGCAAAAUAAUGUGGUACCAUUUGCAUUUUUCAGGUAUAGCAUAGAACAGGUAAAUUUUAAAUCUGUUGCUUGCAACAUAAAGCAAAUGCCUCUUUCUGAAACUCUUGUAAAAGAGUGCAAAAAAUAACUUGGGAUAAGAAUAAUUGGAAAUGUGCUUCAUCUUCCUGCUACUCUGAAUUUCUCACUGCUUUGAGUAAUCUCAAAAGCUUCCAGUACUUGAUAAACCUCAUGGCCAGCUGGGCCAAGUGAAUCACUCCUCUGAAAAAAAAGGAGUUGCACAAGUGGCAUAUCUAGUUUCAUUUUUGCCUGUGCGGUUCCAUAGCUUCUUUUUGACAGAGUGCACCACAUUAUUAGUUAACUAUCGUGUUACUAUGUACUGGGGAGGAUCAUUCUGUCUGAAUCUUAACUUCAAAUUUGCACUGAUUUUUAGUUUCUUGGAUUCGGUUUUAUUUCUUACCAAUACCAUAACCACUUGUGCUAUACCAUGCUACAGCUACAAGAGUCAGACUUUGAAUACCACCUUAGUUUCCCCAGUGACUAGUGAACGCACUCAAUAGCACGUAGUAUGUCUGAUCAGCUGUUUGCUCCUAUUGAAUUUCAAGUUUGGAGUAAAAUCAGAACAUGACCUAAGAUAUUUCCAUAAUCAUUUUAUUUUAUCACCCCCAAUUCCUCUUUUUCAGUAUUAAAUUUGUCAUGGCCAAUGUGUGUGUGUGACACACAUCGUCCAUCCAUGAGUGGAAUGCUAAAUAUCCUGUUACAAUUCCUGUGGGAUGUGUACUCCUUCGUGUGGAUUUCAGAGGCCCCUUACAAGACAUGUCUAGAAGUCUGACACCAUGAAAAAGCUUCUGAAUUUACACAUUGCAACAGACAGUUGGUUUAAAGAGUGGGCAAAGUAAAUGGCUGGCUGGCUGUCCUGCUGAGAAGUACAUAGUGGUAAGGAAGCAAAUUGCAAUGUAAGAUUUAUUGUUUACCAGCAGUAGCUCUUGGCAAGAGGAAUGAAUCUAUUUACAAUAACAAAUUAAGGGAGUUGUACUGGGUCAGACUCAAUUUACAUUCAGUUUCCAGCAGCUGUCAGUAGCGGAUAUCUAAAGAAGAAUAGACAAUAAGAACAUGAUAAACACAGCUAAAACUCCCCCUGUACUCCUGCCAGACUAAAACUAUUCCUUUUGUUCAGAGGCCCUUGAUGUAUUUUUUCUACAUACUUUUCUAAUUGCCUUUUAAUUCGCGUAGGUUUUUGAUACCCUGCAACACCCUCAGUUACUGUAUAGUGAGGCAGAAAAUAAGUUUUCCCUCAUCUUCAUACAUGUGACGAUUUUAUAGCUUCCUUCAAAAAUUUUAUCUCAGUGGAAGAACCUUAUGUAUUCAGUCACUCACUGCAUAAAAACAAUCCCUACUUGCUCUUCUCUGUAUAUUUUCUAUUUCUAAUACAUUUUUUAGAAGUCAUGGGACAAGAAACACGGGUUAUUCAAAUUGCAGGUGAACGUGGACUUUUAAAGUGUUGAGAGAUGCUUUCUGCUUUGUUUUUCAGUCCUGAGAACCCUAUCAACCACUUACUCUUUGUUAACUGAGCAGUGAGUAACAUUUUCACGGGCCUACUGCAAUUCCCUUUUAUUGAGGAACUAGUAUUUAAUAGCCAGGAAACUGGGUAGAAAACAGACUAAAGCUACUCUUCGCGACCUGCAGAGCCCAUUUCUUCCAUAUGUCUGCAGAGCAUGGUCUUCUGGAGUUGCCUGUUAGCAGGCAUCUUCCACUUAGUAAUGCAGAAACGUUGCAGAAAGUUGCAGAAGGAAAAAUAUAGCUGUAAGGGAAAACUUCUCUGCAGCAAGAGAUUAUAGUGAGGGUACCAGGAGCACAGCAGAUUGCAUCAGUGAUGAGGCAGUGGUUAUGUUUCAACACAUUACAGAGAUAUCAAAGGAAAGAAGAUUUGGAAAUAAGGGGACUGAAAAUCUGGAUUAUAUCUAAGUAAUAAAUAAUCACAGUUAAAUAGCUGUGUUACAGAUGCUUCCAUGAAUAUGGCAGGUGAACAAGGAAAAGUCUCCUUGCAAUGGAAACACAAAACUAGGAGCAGGCCUGUGGUUCUCUGAGGAAAUAAACAACAUGCUUGCAGUGCUAAGAGGCACGUAGAUCUGUCACUGAGGAAAGGCAGAGGUAAGGCAGAAGCACAAUUUAUAAUGUUAGUGACAAUAUAAAGUAUAAAACUUUAACUGUGCUGCCCUCUUCUGUGUAUUAGAUAAGGGAAAAGGACAGGGAUUUUUAAAUCUAUCUUUUCUUACACAGAGAACUUUAGUUUUGUGUCCAAAUGUGCAUUUACAAUGCUUAGAAUAGCUGCAUCUUAUAUAAGGCUCCUGGUAGUGACUGAUGGUGACAGAAUUGAAACAUUGCUGUCCUUUUGCUUUAGGUGAUGAAGUCUGAUCUUGUUUCCCAUGUAGGGAAAACUCUAUUUCCCUUUCAUUUCAAGAAAUAAAAAAGCUUGAAGCCAAGACAAAAACUGACACUCACAGGGGAGACUUACAGAUUUGAAUUAGAAAGGCUUUACAUUUCUUUAUAACCCAGUGCAGAAUUCAUGGUUGUCUUCUUCCGUGGUGAGUGAUGUCAUGGAAUCAUUCAUGUAAGAUAUGUAGGCAUUUGGGUGUGAGAGAUGUUAGCAACUGUUCCAGGAGAAACUCAGAAUUUGUCUGGUUGGAAUGUGCUGAGUUUGGCAAAUUCCACAUUUGCGUAACAACAGUAAUAGGCAUCUCUGCUUCUUGAAAAUGUCUCAUUUCCUGUUUUGCCUCUGCUGCUAUUUAUGAUAUUCUGAUGAACACCUCCAAAAUUCUUAUUGUAGAGAUAUACUGGAAUUGUAUAGACUUCAUUAUUUUCACUUUAACUUAUCAAAAUUCUUUCUGAUUUCGUUCUCGAAAAAGAAUGUAAUAAUAAUGAUACGAUUCAUUAUCUACCAGUUUCUCUCCAAAAAGUAUAAGAUGAUCAAGAUCCAGGCUCAUGAUAAACUACAAACAAGCGCAAAUGUAGACUGAGAUAACAGAAUGAUACAAAAUGUGUACCCUAUAUAAAGAGGAUUAUAGGACACUACAGACAUGAAAAACAUUAUUUUAUAAAGGAAAUGACACAUCCCAAAUGUAUACCUUAAUUUUAAAGCUAGCACAAACCAGAGUAAAAUGAAUCAAAACUUCAGUGAUAGGACUCUGUCCUAAAGCUAAAACUGCAGAAUCUUGUCUUUCAUCAAGAAUAUUCUACACCCAAACCAGAUGAAGUGAAGCAGAUAAGAUAUUUUUUUCCCCAUUCAUCUUAUUACUCACAGAAUCAAUACUUCGGUACCACAUCUAGUGAAUACCAUGUCAUCAAAUCUUUGGAGAGGCAGCGGUAUGCUGAGCUGCUGAUCACAUGGGGGAAGCGCCAGGGCGUUAUUGCUCAUGCUCUCAAUCUCUGCAUGUCUCAUGCUUGGGGGCAGAGCUCCCUGUCAGAGAUUUCUUUGACAGGCAUAUUACAAUGUAAAUCUUGGGGCCUUAGGUGUUUAAAAUUGUCUUUCUUAAUUUUCCAAAUCAUCAAAGCUACCUAUAUUCAAAGAAGGACUCAGUAAUCAACACAUUCUCUGGUGGUAAUGAAAUUCAGCGAAUUCUUUGCCUUUCAUGGCAUUUUUCCUGGUUUACAAUUUUGGAAACGAGAUCAGAAACAGGCCUUGACAGUCUUUCCCUCUCUCUACACUUACUCACAGCAAUAAUUAACAUUAACCAGGCAAACACUUCCUUGUCAUCAGAGUCUUAGGUCAAAAGCAUCGGGUCUGUGAUUUCACUGCCUGCUCAUGCACCCAGGGCUGUGAGGGAGAAAUGCUCUUUAUUCAGCAGUUAAUGUCAAAAAGAAUAUGAUGAAUACAGUAAAUUGCAUUUCUUCAAAGGCUCUUUCUUUUCACACUCACCCUGCCCUCUGCAUAAUCCUUUCAUAAUCUCUACCAAAGAAAGGGCUAUAUAUUUGCAUUACUCCUCUGCUCGAGCACAUCAGCACCACUAGAAUCAUUCAGAUGAAUCUACAGCCUUCUAAGGUAACAGCAGCACGUAGCUAGGCAACAAAAAAGAAUAUAGUAUUUUUUCAGGAAGGAGGGCUUUUCUAGAUGAUCUCAUACAGAUGCAGUGCUUUUUGCCUUAUAAGAAGAAAACUGUUCAUUGGAGAAAUGAGUCUGUUAUCCUGUCAUCGUCAAGUCAUAUCGAUAUAUAGGCUUCCCUUGAUGAGCGCUGAAAGAAAAUAACAAGCCAUCAUAUAAUGUACUUAUUUAUUUCUCUGUAUUUAUUACAUAUUUGUAAUUUGAUUUACAGAAGCUGAAAGCCACAAAUGAUUUUAUGGCAGAUUUCAUUAACCAUCAUCCUAAUUAAAAUGGAAUGCUUCAAUAAUUACCAAGUCAGCUGAAAUAAAUUUUAUCUCAGUUCAGCGCAAAUUGUGUCAGCGUUGAAAAAGAGAUUUUGUAAGUGGAAAAGGCAUUCUGUUAUAUGUACAGUCCAUCACUGUAUGUAGUGACGGAGUGCUUGUGAGUGGUGCACACUGAUUUUAUGAAUCUGAACAGAUUCAGCUGAGUGAAAACCAAAAAAUUGGUCUGGACUAAUGGCUACAGCACAGGCACCGGAUGCCUUUGUACCCCAGGCAGAGAAGCGGGCUGAGUAGCUCCCCAUCUGACAGGUACAGUCUGGCUCACAGAGGACUUAGGAGGUGCCAAGACAGUUUCUGCUGUGUUGUGGCAACAGGAACUCAGGUUCUGGAUAAAGACAUUUGCCCCUGUUUCUCAGUGGGGUUUGUGCUGGUAGGGUCUCAGGACAGCCACUGACCCAUGUGAAAUCCUAGCACCAUCUAUUGGGGUAAGGCUAACCUGAGCAUCAUUGCAAUCCACGAUCACAUCUGAUGUGGCAAGUGGACAUCACUUUCAGCUAUCCCGUUUCCAAUUUCUACAUCACACUAAUUUGACAAUUUGUCUGUACUGUAAUUUUAUUUACUUGCAGAGCUGUCAAAUCUUGUUUUACAGUCUGAGUGCAGCAGUGCAGCCUGCACGGCUGGGACAGGUCAUACAAAGCAGUGGCACGAUACCCAACAAGUGCCAGGAAAACAUUCUCCAUGGAGCAGGGAGGUCCCUCUCAAAUUGUCCAUGUUUGUGAAGGAACAUGAUCUGUACAUUGCACUUUUUGUGGCACAUAUUUUUUCUGGUACAGACCUCAAUGUAGUUGAUCAGAGAGACAUUACAUCACAGUCUUGGCAGCUUUCAUGUAUGCAUUUCCUCUCUUUGGCAUGUUAUUUUAUUUGUAUAUUCCAGAGCCUGUUCUGUGGGAUCAUUUCCAUUCUCCCCAGCUGGACUGAGCCACAAUUCAUACUAUGUUGUCUCUUUCAUCUUGUCAUUCUGUGUGGUGUAACAGGGAUUGCCCAGUUAGGCAUGCAAGCCAAAAAAGACACAACUUACUUGCAGCCAGUGAAAGACUCAAGCAACUUUUAAGAGGAUAAAGACUGAAUGUCAGAAGAAGGCAUGCCAUCUUCAUAGUGUUGAUAGCAAAGUUUCUGCAGUUUUAAAGAUUAGUAAAAUAUGUUGCAAGUAUUAAACUAGUGUGAUAUAUUAGCAGAUGUGUAUACAAUCUGCAUCUAAGCCGUAGUGUUUAUUUAUUGAGAAAAAAUAAAAAAAUAAAAAGGAAAAUUAUUAAUUGUAUGACCUGUUAACUGCUUGAGUACAUCUGUGGAGCUAAUGUUUAGACUGUAGAUGAACUGAAAUGUGUACAUGCAAAUGGCAAUGGCAUAUGCAUUUGAAAUAAAGCUUUUGAGAUUGAGGUUAAAGCUAAUAAAACGUUUACUUCUUGUUUGCAAAAUAAAACGAACUCUCCAUUUUUUUGCUAGGGAUGGUCCAAUAUUCUUCUUGCCAACAAAAAUAAAUAUACGACAAGACUUCAUCAGUUAUACGCUAAAAAUAUAGUCCAGAGUAUAACCUCAAUUAAAGCUGUCAGUUUGCAGGAUCAGACCCAGAAUGCUCCAGGGCAGCAGCUGCUCCCGAUUCCCAUGUUACAUUUAUUCCACAGACAUGAUGGAAAUUAUCUUCUGCCCUGUUCUCUCCCUCCAACCCUGUGCAUGGAGCUGAGCUUAAGGCAGGAGCCAGGGACUAUUAACUUGUAAAGAGCACAUCUUUGGCAUCUGAAUCUUGUGUGUGCUGCGGUAAGAUGCUGAAAAGCACCAAAACGGAUGAGACAACUGGCAAAUUACUCAGUGACCCUGAUGAGUGUGUGGAAUGAAGCUGGGACAGCAGGGCUUCCAACCAUCCAAACAACCAGGAUGUUUUUACCACUGCAGACAGGGCUGUUCCUUUCAUCCACAAAGUAAAGUUAAACAAUGGAGAUAACCUGCCACAGGAUGCAAAAGUUCUUUAUAGCAGGAGCCAGCUAAUGAUCAUUAAAACCAGGGAACGGAAGAUUUUUGCUGAAACUGGCAGUGCAUUAUCAUUCAGCAAGAAUUCAAGCUGAGGGAGCCCCCUACAGGAAGAGCUGUGAUCUCAAGCAAAGUAACUGUUUCAUUCAAAUGUCCAAGGAAGUGCUGAUCAUUCAAAGGAUGCUAAGCCAAA